RNAcentral lists this ribosomal RNA (253 nucleotides) under uncultured bacterium. RNAcentral describes it as "partial 16S ribosomal RNA". It matches the Rfam family "Archaeal small subunit ribosomal RNA", at positions 474 to 727 of the family's 1478-position model. The record is from RNAcentral.
UACCAGCACCCCGAGUGGUCGGGACGAUUAUUGGGCCUAAAGCAUCCGUAGCCGGUCCUGCAAGUCUUCCGUUAAAUCCAGCUGCUCAACAGAUGGGCUGCGGGGGAUACUACAUGGCUAGGAGGCGGGAGAGGCAAGCGGUACUUUAUGGGUAGGGGUAAAAUCCGUUGAUCCAUAGAAGACCACCAGUGGCGAAGGCGGCUUGCCAGAACGCGCUCGACGGUGAGGGAUGAAAGCUGGGGGAGCAACCGGG